UGGUUCUGGCAUCGAUGAAGAACGCAGCGAAAUGCGAUAAGUAAUGCGAAUUGCAGAAUUCAGUGAGUCAUCGAAUCUUUGAACGCAUAUUGCGCCCUUUGGCACUCCGAAGGGCAUGCCUGUUCGAGCGUCAUUAUCAACCGUCAAGCCUGGCUUGUUGUUGGACUUCUGGUCGUUGGACCGGUCUAAAAGGCAGCAGGUGGGACCUGGUAGCCCUCGAUAUAAUAAGCUUCUUAUAGCACAUAUCUGCGGGCUAGCGGGCCUAUCUUUAAGCUUUAAUUUUCUCAGGUUGACCUCGGAUCAGGUAAGAAUACCCGCUGA
Molecule: unclassified non-coding RNA, 321 nt
Filed under: uncultured fungus
Lineage: Eukaryota; Fungi
Description: partial contains 5.8S ribosomal RNA and internal transcribed spacer 2
Rfam family: 5.8S ribosomal RNA (bases 1-133)
Source: RNAcentral